UAAGUUAGUAAGGGCGCACGGUGAAUGCCUUGGCACUAGGAGCCGAUGAAGGACGGGACUAACACCGAUAUGCUUCGGGGAGCUGUAAGUAAGCUUUGAUCCGGAGAUUUCCGAAUGGGGAAACCCACUGUUCGUAAUGGGACAGUAUCUUUACCUGAAUACAUAGGGUAUGGAAGGCAGACCCGGGGAACUGAAACAUCUAAGUACCCGGAGGAAGAGAAAGCAAAUGCGAUUUCCUGAGUAGCGGCGAGCGAAACGGAAGAAGCCCAAACCAAGAGGCUUGCCUCUUGGGGUUGUAGGACACUCUAUACGGAGUUACAAAGGAACGAAGUAGGUGAAGUGGUCUGGAAAGGCCAGCCGAAGGAGGUAACAGCCCUGUAGCUGAAACUUCGUUCCCUCUUGAGUGGAUCCUGAGUACGGCGGGACACGUGAAAUCCCGUCGGAAGCUGGGAGGACCAUCUCCCAAGGCUAAAUACUCCCUAGUGACCGAUAGUGAACCAGUACCGUGAGGGAAAGGUGAAAAGCACCCCGGAAGGGGAGUGAAAGAGAUCCUGAAACCGUGUGCCUACAAGUAGUUGGAGCCCAUUUAUGGGUGACAGCGUGCCUUUUGUAGAAUGAACCGGCGAGUUACGAUCCCGUGCAAGGUUAAGUCGAAGAGACGGAGCCGCAGCGAAAGCGAGUCUGAAUAGGGCGCAUGAGUACGUGGUCGUAGACCCGAAACCAGGUGAUCUACCCAUGUCCAGGUUGAAGUCCAGGUAACACUGGAUGGAGGACCGAACCCACGCACGUUGAAAAGUGCGGGGAUGAGGUGUGGGUAGCGGAGAAAUUCCAAUCGAACUUGGAGAUAGCUGGUUCUCCCCGAAAUAGCUUUAGGGCUAGCCUUAAGGUAAGAGUCUUGGAGGUAGAGCACUGAUUGGACUAGGGGCCCCCAUCGGGUUACCGAAUUCAGUCAAACUCCGAAUGCCAAAGACUUAUCCUUAGGAGUCAGACUACGAGUGAUAAGGUCCGUGGUCAAGAGGGAAACAGCCCAGAUCACCAGCUAAGGUCCCAAAGUGUACGUUAAGUGGCAAAGGAUGUGGAGUUGCUUAGACAACCAGGAUGUUGGCUUAGAAGCAGCCACCAUUUAAAGAGUGCGUAAUAGCUCACUGGUCGAGUGACUCUGCGCCGAAAAUGUAACGGGGCUAAACGUACCACCGAAGCUGUGGAUUGACACUUACGUGUCAGUGGUAGGGGAGCGUUCUAAGGGCUUUGAAGCUAGACCGAAAGGACUAGUGGAGCGCUUAGAAGUGAGAAUGCCGGUGUGAGUAGCGAAAAGACAGGUGAGAAUCCUGUCCAUCGAAAGCCUAAGGUUUCCUGAGGAAGGCUCGUCCGCUCAGGGUUAGUCGGGACCUAAGCCGAGGCCGAAAGGCGUAGGCGAUGGCCAACAGGUUGAUAUUCCUGUACCACCUCUUUACCGUUUGAGCAAUGGAGGGACGCAGGAGGAUAGGGUAAGCGCGUCGUUGGUUGUGCGCGUCCAAGCAGUUAGAGCGACAAGUAGGCAAAUCCGCUUGUCAUACGCUUAAGCUGUGAUGGCGAGGGAAAUAAAGUACCGAAGUUCCUGAUUCCACACUGCCAAGAAAAGCUUCUAGCGAGGUAGAAGGUGCCCGUACCGCAAACCGACACAGGUAGGUGAGGAGAGAAUCCUAAGAUGCGCGAGAGAACUCUCGUUAAGGAACUCGGCAAAAUGACCCCGUAACUUCGGGAGAAGGGGUGCUCUGAUAGCGUGCAAGCGCGAGAGAGCCGCAGUGAAUAGGCCCAAGCGACUGUUUAGCAAAAACACAGGUCUCUGCGAAGCCGUAAGGCGAAGUAUAGGGGCUGACACCUGCCCGGUGCUGGAAGGUUAAGAGGAGGGGUUAUCCGUAAGGAGAAGCUCUGAAUCGAAGCCCCAGUAAACGGCGGCCGUAACUAUAACGGUCCUAAGGUAGCGAAAUUCCUUGUCAGGUAAGUUCUGACCCGCACGAAAGGUGUAACGACUUGGGCACUGUCUCAACGAGAGACUCGGUGAAAUCAUAGUACCUGUGAAGAUGCAGGUUACCCGCGACAGGACGGAAAGACCCCAUGGAGCUUUACUGCAACCUGAUAUUGAAUUUUGGUACAGCUUGUACAGGAUAGGUAGGAGCCUGAGAAGCCGGAGCGCCAGCUCGGUGGAGGCAUCGGUGGGAUACUACCCUGGCUGUAUUGAAAUUCUAACCCACAGCCCUGAUCGGGCUGGGAGACAGUGUCAGGUGGGCAGUUUGACUGGGGCGGUCGCCUCCUAAAAGGUAACGGAGGCGCCCAAAGGUUCCCUCAGAAUGGUUGGAAAUCAUUCGCAGAG
RNAcentral lists this ribosomal RNA (2353 nucleotides) under Schinkia azotoformans MEV2011. RNAcentral describes it as "bacterial LSU rRNA". It matches the Rfam family "Bacterial large subunit ribosomal RNA", at positions 4 to 2349 of the family's 2925-position model. Lineage: Bacteria; Bacillati; Bacillota; Bacilli; Caryophanales; Bacillaceae. The record is from RNAcentral.